This 265-nucleotide long non-coding RNA is filed under the name Elaeis guineensis (African oil palm). RNAcentral describes it as "long non-coding RNA (EGUI_LNC006097)". The record is from RNAcentral. Lineage: Eukaryota; Viridiplantae; Streptophyta; Magnoliopsida; Arecales; Arecaceae.
CACCAAAUAGAAACAAAAGAUCAGAAAAAAAAUGGAAGAAAAAUGGAGCUCCGACUGAAUCAAGUAGGCCGACUAUCAAUAAGCGAGUUUCACCUCGAUAAUGGAGUCUGAAGCCGAACAGCUAUGGUAAAUAUGACUCCUAUACUCCUCUUUCUGCUCUCCGUAUACAGAUCUUGAUGGAGAUCGAAGAAAAGGAGUAUCUUUGACACCCCCUGCCAAUGAAGGCACCAUCAAAGAGCCAUGACAGAAAGAAAUACUGUCAGUU